AUUUGAUGAUGAGGACAUUGAAUGCAGAGUUGCUCGAAUCUUUCCCAAUAUUCGGAGAGUGUCUCUCCAUGAGAUUGCCGAAUCCCAUAUAUUUCUUUUCUUAUGUU
Molecule: small nucleolar RNA, 107 nt
Filed under: Populus trichocarpa (black cottonwood)
Lineage: Eukaryota; Viridiplantae; Streptophyta; Magnoliopsida; Malpighiales; Salicaceae
Description: Plant small nucleolar RNA R71
Rfam family: Plant small nucleolar RNA R71
About the family: R71 is a member of the C/D box family of snoRNAs containing the C (UGAUGA) and D (CUGA) box motifs. Multiple nearly identical copies of this snoRNA have been identified in Arabidopsis, and it is thought to function as a 2'-O-ribose methylation guide for 18S ribosomal RNA.
Source: Rfam by way of RNAcentral